UUUACAUCACAUUCAGUCAUCUAGCAGACGCUCCCAUCCAGAGCGACCCACAGGAGCAACCAGGGUCAAGCGUCAAAACAGAUCUCCCACCAGGUCAAAUUGGGGAGCUGGACCAGCGACCUAUCGGUCCCAACUGCCAGGCCACCAACCAUCCAAAAAUCCCCUAUGGGAAAAAUGAAUGGUGGGAAAAUCUAUUGGAACCAUUUCCCUGUUUGACCGCCAGGUUUUAUGGGUAUUAUGACUCAUACUGUAGUACUCUAUUGUCUCGAGGCUUAGUGACAUCAAUAAGGGAUCAUAGCUUCCACCUGGAUUCACCCGGUCAGUGUAUGUCAUGGAAAGAGCAGGUGUCCUUAAUGUUUUAUUUACUCAGUGUAUAUUCAGAGAGAUGUGACGAUCUACUCCAGUUCAGCCAGUAGUCUGAUGCGCUCCAGCAGGUGUGUGUCUACUCAGCCAGUAGUCUGAUGUGCUCCAGCAGGUGUGUGUCUACUCAGCCAGUAGUCUGAUGUGCUCCAGCAGGUGUGUGUCUACUCAGCCAGUAGUCUGAUGUGCUCCAGCAGGUGUGUGUGUGUGUCUACUCAGCCAGUAGUCUGAUGUGCUCCAGCAGGUGUGUGUGUGUGUCUACUGAGCCUGUUCAGCCAGUUGUCUGAUGCGCUCCAGCAGGUGUGUGUCUACUCAGCCAGUAGUCUGAUGUGCUCCAGCAGGUGUGUGUCUACUCAGCCAGUAGUCUGAUGUGCUCCAGCAGGUGUGUGUCUACUCAGCCAGUAGUCUGAUGUGCUCCAGCAGGUGUGUGUCUACUCAGCCAGUAGUCUGAUGUGCUCCAGCAGGUGUGUGUCUACUCAGCCAGUAGUCUGAUGCGCUCCAGCAGGUGUGUGUCUACUCAGCCAGUAGUCUGAUGUGCUCCAGCAGGUGUGUGUCUACUCAGCCAGUAGUCUGAUGUGCUCCAGCAGGUGUGUGUGUGUGUCUACUCAGCCAGUAGUCUGAUGUGCUCCAGCAGGUGUGUGUCUACUCAGCCAGUAGUCUGAUGUGCUCCAGCAGGUGUGUGUCUACUCAGCCAGUAGUCUGAUGUGCUCCAGCAGGUGUGUGUGUGUGUCUACUCAGCCAGUAGUCUGAUGUGCUCCAGCAGGUGUGUGUCUACUCAGCCAGUAGUCUGAUGUGCUCCAGCAGGUGUGUGUCUACUCAGCCAGUAGUCUGAUGUGCUCCAGCAGGUGUGUGUCUACUCAGCCAGUAGUCUGAUGUGCUCCAGCAGGUGUGUGUCUACUCAGCCAGUAGUCUGAUGUGCUCCAGCAGGUGUGUGUCUACUCAGCCAGUAGACUGAUGUGCUCCAGCAGGUGUGUGUCUACUCAGCCAGUAGUCUGAUGCGCUCCAGCAGGUGUGUGUCUACUCAGCCAGUAGUCUGAUGUGCUCCAGCAGGUGUGUGUCUACUCAGCCAGUAGUCUGAUGUGCUCCAGCAGGUGUGUGUGUGUGUCUACUCAGCCAGUAGUCUGAUGUGCUCCAGCAGGUGUGUGUCUACUCAGCCAGUAGUCUGAUGUGCUCCAGCAGGUGUGUGUCUACUCAGCCAGUAGUCUGAUGUGCUCCAGCAGGGUGUGUGUGUGUGUCUACUCAGACAGUAGUCUGAUGUGCUCCAGCAGGUGUGUGUGUGUGUCUACUCAGCCAGUAGUCUGAUGUGCUCCAGCAGGUGUGUGUCUACUCAGCCAGUAGUCUGAUGCGCUCCAGCAGGUGUGUGUCUACUCAGCCAGUAGUCUGAUGUGCUCCAGCAGGUGUGUGUCUACUCAGCCAGUAGUCUGAUGCGCUCCAGCAGGUGUGUGUCUACUCAGCCAGUAGUCUGAUGCGCUCCAGCAGGUGUGUGUCUACUCAGCCAGUAGUCUGAUGCGCUCCAGCAGGUGUGUGUCUACUCAGCCAGUAGUCUGAUGUGCUCCAGCAGGUGUGUGUCUACUGAGCCAGUAGUUUGAUGUGCUCCAGCAGGUGUGUGUCUACUCAGCCAGUAGUCUGAUGCGCUCCAGCAGGUGUGUGUCUACUCAGCCAGUAGUCUGAUGUGCUCCAGCAGGUGUGUGUCUACUCAGCCAGUAGUCUGAUGUGCUCCAGCAGGUGUGUGUCUACUCAGCCAGUAGUCUGAUGCGCUCCAGCAGGUGUGUGUCUACUCAGCCAGUAGUCUGAUGCGCUCCAGCAGGUGUGUGUGUGUGUCUACUCAGCCAGUAGUCUGAUGUGCUCCAGCAGGUGUGUGUGU
Coregonus clupeaformis (lake whitefish) is the source of this 2224-nucleotide long non-coding RNA. RefSeq lists it as uncharacterized. The record is from RefSeq and is a predicted model, not a curated record. The transcript has 3 exons. Lineage: Eukaryota; Metazoa; Chordata; Actinopteri; Salmoniformes; Salmonidae.